AGCUUUGCGCAGUGGCAAUAUCAUAACCAAUGAGGGUCUCCCGAGGUGUGAUUAUUGCCAGUUGAAACUUUAACCAAUACCCCGCCACGAUGAAGUGAAAUAU
This is a non-coding RNA of Daphnia pulex (common water flea), 103 nucleotides long. The record is from Rfam. NCBI's taxonomy places the organism in Eukaryota, Metazoa, Arthropoda, Branchiopoda, Diplostraca, Daphniidae.